Molecule: ribosomal RNA, 427 nt
Filed under: Insignorthezia insignis
Lineage: Eukaryota; Metazoa; Arthropoda; Insecta; Hemiptera; Ortheziidae
Description: partial 12S ribosomal RNA
Source: RNAcentral
AGAAUAAAAAAAUUCAAAAUAAAUAUAAAAAUAAAAUUACUUUUAAAUUCUAAAAAAAAAUUCAAAUAAACUCAUAAAAUAAAAAAUAACUCAUUUAAACUAAAUAAAACUAAAUCUUAAUCUGAAAUUAAACAAUUAAACCAAAAAAUAAAUUAAACAACGAUAUAUAAACUUAAACCAAGUAAAAUUAAUCGUGUAAAAUCAAAUUAAUAAACAAGUUCCUCUAAAAACAACCAACCGCCAUCAAAUUUAACUUUAAUAAAACAAUUAAUAAUCAAAAAAAUAAAAAAUAAAAGGGUAUCUAAUCCUCAUCUAAACAAUCAAAUUAAAAGAACAAAUAAAAAAAAAAAAAUAUUCAUUUCACAAAAAAUAAAAACAACAAAAACCAAAAAUCUCACAAACCAAAAUCACCGCUUAAUUAAAUUGU